This 485-nucleotide ribosomal RNA is filed under the name Amphipsyche proluta. RNAcentral describes it as "eukaryotic LSU rRNA". The record is from RNAcentral. Lineage: Eukaryota; Metazoa; Arthropoda; Insecta; Trichoptera; Hydropsychidae.
AUCAGGGGUAAACCUGUGGAACUCGAACGAACGAACGGGGAGAUUCAUCGUAUUUCCGUUUACGGAUCCGCGGCGCGAUCGCUUAUCGCGAUUGUUGCGUCGUCUCGCGCGGCGUUCACGAUCGUGACGGUCGCGUCGUAUCGGCACGGUCCGCGGAAUGCGUGCACUUCUCCCUUAGUAAAACACCGCGACCCGUUCGCGUGCGCGCGAUCGAACGCGCCGUGCGGUUGUCCCGCUUCGAACGUUAAAAAUUCGGGGCGGAGCCGCGGCGUCGCGAUCGCGGGCGGACGGUAGAAAACUAGGUUCGCCUUCGCUCCCCCACGGGGGGGCGUCCGUGCUCAGGACCGAUGCGGUCCCGCCAGGACCUCGACGUUUAGCGCGUCGCGGGAUUCGGGCGCGGUCUGCCGUAUCGCAGCAUGCCUGGGCCUCUCGGACGGAAGGCGUCCCGGUCGGCGGUGGUUUUGUUUCGGGCACUCACAGGACCC